GGGAGGCAGCAGUGAGGAAUAUUGCGCAAUGGGGGAAACCCUGACGCAGCGACGCCGCGUGGGUGAAGAAGGCCUUCGGGUUGUAAAGCCCUGUCAGGUGGGAAGAAACCUUUAAAGGUGAAUAGCCUUUAAAACUGACGGUACCACCAAAGGAAGCACCGGCUAACUCCGUGCCAGCAGCCGCGGUAAGACGGAGGGUGCAAGCGUUGCUCGGAAUUACUGGGCGUAAAGCGCGUGUAGGCGGUCCGGUAAGUCGAGUGUGAAAGCCCGAGGCUCAACCUCGGAAGUGCAUUCGAAACUGUCGGACUUGAGUACGGGAGAGGGAAGUGGAAUUCCUGGUGUAGAGGUGAAAUUCGUAGAUAUCAGGAGGAACACCGGUGGCGAAGGCGGCUUCCUGGACCGAUACUGACGCUGAGACGCGAAAGCGUGGGGAGCAAACAGGAUUAGAUACCCGAGUAA
RNAcentral lists this ribosomal RNA (459 nucleotides) under uncultured bacterium. RNAcentral's name for it is "bacterial SSU rRNA". It matches the Rfam family "Bacterial small subunit ribosomal RNA", at positions 343 to 793 of the family's 1533-position model. The record is from RNAcentral.